This 564-nucleotide long non-coding RNA is filed under the name Homo sapiens (human). RNAcentral's name for it is "HSALNT0365296". The record is from RNAcentral. Lineage: Eukaryota; Metazoa; Chordata; Mammalia; Primates; Hominidae.
CGGGGGGGGGGUUGUUCUUUUGCUCCUUGGGUCCACACUGCGUUUAUGAGCUGUAAUAUUCACCGCAAAGGUCUGCAGCUUCACUACUAAGCCAACGAGACCACAAACCCACCAGGAGGAACGACAAUUCCAGACGCGUGGCUUUAACAGCUGUUAACACUCACCGCGAAGGUCUGUAGCUUCAUUUCUGAGUCAGCGAGACCACGAACCCACCAGAAAGAAGAAACUCCGAACACACCCGAACCUCAGAAGGAACAAAUUCCGGACACGCCGCCUUUAAGAACUGUAACACUCACCACAAGGGUCCGCGGCUUCAUUCUUGAAGUCAGUGAGACCAAGAACCCACUAAUUCCGGACACACUUUGACCAGCAGAGCAGGCAGAAGUAAAGCCACGGUUCACAGAAGUGCAGCCUCCCCCAACGCCAGUGCCCUGGGUCCAAGAGCAGAAUCUCAGUGUUCCUGCAGAAGUCACCAUGGAAGAAUAAUCGUGUUGUGAUUUUGAAAGGAAAUUGAAAUCCCCUCUUUACUGCUUUCUAAAUGAACCUUAUAAUUUUCUCCCUGUC